GUCCCAUUGUGACAGAAUGAAACCGUGGACCAAGUAGCUGUCAUGAAGUGAGCAACUUUCUUCUGCCACACCCUCCCACCUUGAUGUUUCUGCCUCACACAGAUCUAAAGAGAUGGAACUAGCCAACCAUGGACUGACACCUAUGAAACCAUGAACCACAUAAGCUUUUCUUCCUUUAAGCAGAUUGUCAUGGUUAUUUUGUCUCAGUGACAAAAAGCUGGUCAACACACCUAAUUCCAUCAAAAGUUAUAGGUCAAAGAGGAAGGGCAUCACAUCGGCACUUUCUGAAAGCUGUCUCGAAACAGAGAUUGUGACGGAUUGUAUUCUUCCAGCCUUCUUGGAGCUGUCCCGAAGAAAGGGGAGUGCUGUGAAUCUGCUCGGGUCAUGAGCAGGUGCGACUUGGUGAAGGAGAGAAAGCACUUGUUCCCCAUGUCCCAGGCCAGGAGCCCGGGGACCUCGCCAUGGAGGCUGGCCCAGAAGUCAGAGUCACGGAGCUUUGUGGGCCACCGUGGGCGAAGGAGUGGAGCGCAGGUGGGGAGCUCGGCCCCACGCCCACGCCGCUUCUGGAAGUAGUCGGCGGUCCAGGUGCAGGGGGCCAAGCAAGCGGCGCAGAUGCCCGAGCUCGCCACUGCCCCGAGGGCUUCCUCUGUGCCCUGGUCCUCGGAACUCAAAGUUUGAGGAUCCAGGAGGACGACAAUAUGUAUCUCACACCUUUCUCCCUAUGGCGCACAAACCUCUCAGAAGGAUCCUGCAGCAGGGCUAAUAGCGGCUUCCUGAAAGUUCUAAUAGGUUUUAUGGUUUAUCUAAGAUCGCAUCUAUAGUAGGCUGUGGAGCUAGCCUAAGAGUCUAGUUUUUAAGUGUUCUGACCAUGAAUAAAUUAUAAAUAUGUGAGCUAAAACAUUUGUUAGAUUUAGCCAUUGCACAACACGUCUGGCCUGGAUUUUGCAGUGAUCCUUUAGCGUCAGCUUCCUAAGUGCUGAGAUAACAGGUGUGUGCCACCAUGCCUGGUUUUGUUUAUGUAUUUUUUACACUUGAUCUUAGCCAAAAGGCCUAGAAGCGAUUGUUGUUUAUGUAUUUUAAAACAUCGUGUUUUUACCAUAAAUACUUUGGGUUUCUCAUAUAAGAGAAACAUAUUUAAGCAUUUGUGUCUGAUUUAUUUUACUUAACAUUAUGGUCUGUAGGUAUAUCCAUUUUCCUACAAAUGACUCAAAUUUAUCCUUCUUUAUAGCAGAGUAGUACUCCUUAGUAUGUAAAUACCACAUUUUCUUUUAAAUGUUAAUGGACAUAUAAGAUGCUUCAAAUAUUCAGCUAUUAUGAAUUGUGUGUGUAUAUAUAUGUAAUUUUUUGCAAUUAAAAUAAACAAGUAAAGAAAUAAAGGACAUUGAGAAGUUGAAAGUAAAUGGAGCCAGGUGUGGUAGUGCAUAUCUAUAAUCCCAGCACUUGGGAGGCUGAGGCAGGAG
This 1460-nucleotide long non-coding RNA is filed under the name Heterocephalus glaber (naked mole-rat). RNAcentral's name for it is "lncRNA (ENSHGLG00000047067.1)". The record is from RNAcentral. Lineage: Eukaryota; Metazoa; Chordata; Mammalia; Rodentia; Bathyergidae.